CGGCAUGCUUAACACAUGCAAGUCGAACGAGAUCUUCGGAUCUAGUGGCGCACGGGUGCGUAACGCGUGGGGAUCUACCAUAGGGUGCGGAAUAACUCAGAGAAAUUUGAGCUAAUACCGCAUAAUGUCUUCGGACCAAAGAUUUAUCGCCCUUUGAUGAACCCGCGUAAGAUUAGCUUGUUGGUGAGGUAAAGGCUCACCAAGGCGACGAUCUUUAGCUGGUCUGAGAGGAUGAUCAGCCACACUGGGACUGAGACACGGCCCAGACUCCUACGGGAGGCAGCAGUGGGGAAUAUUGGACAAUGGGCGAAAGCCUGAUCCAGCAAUGCCGCGUGAGUGAUGAAGGCCUUAGGGUUGUAAAGCUCUUUUACCAGGGAUGAUAAUGACAGUACCUGGAGAAUAAGCUCCGGUUAACUCCGUGCCAGCAGCCGCGGUAAUACGGAGGGAGCUAGCGUUGCUCGGAAUUACUGGGCGUAAAGCGCGCGUAGGCGGUUACUCAAGUCAGAGGUGAAAGCCCGGAKCUAAACUCCGGAACUGCCUUUGAAACUAGGUGACUAGAAUCUKGGAGAGGCGAGUGGAAUCCCGAGUGUAGAGGUGAAAUUCGUAGAUAUUCGGAAG
RNAcentral lists this ribosomal RNA (618 nucleotides) under Sphingomonas sp. PM14. RNAcentral describes it as "bacterial SSU rRNA". It matches the Rfam family "Bacterial small subunit ribosomal RNA", at positions 40 to 704 of the family's 1533-position model. Lineage: Bacteria; Pseudomonadati; Pseudomonadota; Alphaproteobacteria; Sphingomonadales; Sphingomonadaceae. The record is from RNAcentral.